CUACGGGGUGCAGCAGUGAGGAAUAUUGCACAAUGGAGGAAACUCUGAUGCAGCAACGCCGCGUGGAGGAUGACGCAUUUCGGCGUGUAAACUCCUUUUAUAUGUCAAGAAAAUGACGGUAGCAUAUGAAUAAGCACAGGCUAACUCCGUGCCAGCAGCCGCGGUAAUACGGAGGGUGCAAGCGUUACUCGGAAUCACUGGGCGUAAAGGACGCGUAGGCGGGAUAUCAAGUCAGGUGUGAAAUCCUACAGCUUAACUGUAGAACUGCACUUGAAACUGGUAACCUAGAGUAUGGGAGGGGGAGAUGGAAUUAGUGGUGUAGGGGUAAAAUCCGUAGAUAUCACUAGGAAUACCUAAAGCGAAGGCGAUCUCCUGGAACAUAACUGACGCUAAGGCGUGAAAGCGUGGGGAGCAAACAGGAUUAGAUACCCUCGUAGUC
Molecule: ribosomal RNA, 439 nt
Filed under: uncultured bacterium
Lineage: Bacteria
Description: partial 16S ribosomal RNA
Rfam family: Bacterial small subunit ribosomal RNA
Source: RNAcentral